This is a long non-coding RNA of Carassius gibelio (silver crucian carp), 552 nucleotides long. RefSeq lists it as uncharacterized. The transcript has 2 exons. Lineage: Eukaryota; Metazoa; Chordata; Actinopteri; Cypriniformes; Cyprinidae. The record is from RefSeq and is a predicted model, not a curated record.
UUGAUUUCAAAUGCAGUUAAAUUGCAAUUUCAGGGGCACUUCUAAAAUAUUUCGGAGCAUCCUCUGCCACUGGUCAGGAUGAGCCAACCACCUCCUCCGCUACCCAUAUGUCUCCACAAAUAUCUGAUAUUGAGGAUGAAGACCUCUUUGCCUCUACUUCUACCCAGCAUGAGCUUUCAGAAAUGCCUGGAGCUGAACCCCCACUGAGCCCCACUGGCCCUCACAUCUGACUGACAGGAUUCGGACUGAGCCGGUUCACAGAGGACCAAGUAAAGUGCCACCUGGCUUUGUUUUCCGUAGGAAUGAGAGUAAUGGGAGAAGUUGCCACCACUAAUAUUUUAAUAAGACAUUAGUAAGUGGUGAAAAGAUGGCAAGAAGUUGGCUGAUUUAUUCAAUUAAGAACAACAGCCUCUUUUGCUUCUGCUGCAAAUUGUUUUCCAAGAGGAACAUCAAUUUAACAAGUGCAGGAAUGGCAAAUUGGAAACAUGCAUGCAAUGAUCUCACAUCAUAUGAAAACAGUUGUUAUAAUAAAAUAUUGCUGUUUGUGCAGAA